This is a long non-coding RNA of Ruditapes philippinarum (Manila clam), 1725 nucleotides long. RefSeq lists it as uncharacterized. The record is from RefSeq and is a predicted model, not a curated record. NCBI's taxonomy places the organism in Eukaryota, Metazoa, Mollusca, Bivalvia, Venerida, Veneridae. The transcript has 3 exons.
UCUUUCAGCUUAUACUAUGUCAAAUAUAACAUUUUUUUCUUGUCAAUUAUGAUAAAGUGAAUGGCGUCUGGGGAAACUGGUUGAACUGGGGUUUGUGCUCAGUAACGUGUGGAGAUGGAACAAGGUCAAGAUUAAGGUCAUGUGAUAAUCCAUCACCUAGCAAUGGUGGAGAACAAUGUCAAGGGUCAAGUGUGGACAAUCAAAAUUGCAAAGACGAGGAGUGCCACAGAUUUGGCUGCAUGUGAAGCUAUGGCGGCCAGGCUUGUUAUAUUCGAUAGCCAACAGGAGAUAGACGAUUUAAUGACCGCAUUUGAUAUACAAGGCAUGGGCGCCUGGUGAACCUAAUGGAGCCAAUUGUGUUUGGAUAGGAAGUCAGAGCGUACUGUGGGACGACGCCGGAUGUGGAGGUGCGAGGAAUUAUAUUUGUGAACAGAUUUAAUCCAAGUUGAAGACUUUUACAAAAAAAUUUCACCAGUCUUCAUCUUAAAACGUGCAAUUAUCAUGAAAUGAAAUGAGUCGGGAUUAUAAUGAUUUUCAGUAUAAUUGUGAAAACAAGUAAUAGGCAGUAUAUGUAAUAGUUCACUUAAUAUAAGUUUCAGGCGUUCUCCGCAAACAUCAACUUCAGCAGUACUUGGUUAUUUGGUAAUUUUCUAUGACGGUACAUCACAAACUGCGAAUAAUCAAAUUUUGGUAUGGAAGUAUGAAAGCCCCCGACACUAUUUUUAAAGUAAUGUUUAUAACAGGUUCAAUUUUAAUUUGACUUAUUUAUGGACAAAAAACGUUAGGAAAAUGCUAUCAGAUUUAUGUGAUGGAAAUUAAUGGACCAAUGUUAAUAUCACAAAGAAUAUUAUACAAAGACUUUAUGAUCAAUGAUUACAGCAAUGGUGUUCUGAGCGAAGUAGUUUUCCUAAGGUUAUCUAGUUACAAUUUUAUUCAAGAAAGAUACUUAGAUGUUGUUAAUAACAUCAAUCACCGUAAAGCGUUCACGUUUAGAUGUUUAUCACAUUAAUUGUAAAAAGAAGAUGGAAGAUAUAGAAAUGGCGAUAGAAAUUCACGUAUACGUAUGAAAUGCAGCUUGAAUCAAAUAGAAAAUGAAUAUCAUUUUUAUUAGUUUGUCCAUUCUAUAGGGAACUGAGAAGUCCUCGAUAUUUUUGUGCUUGACCAACCAUCAAUAAUUUUCAAUUUCAAUAUCAUUUAUGCAGUCUUCACAAAAGAAAAUAAUAGUUUAUUUAGCUGAGUUUAUUUAUUGGUGUAUAUGAGAAGCUAAAACAGAUCAUUUUAUAUGUGUCGUUAUUUGUUUCUAUAUUAUUGUAUUCGGUAUAAUCAUACUUCUGUGACUCAUAUUGACAUUAUGAUAUUUUUUGCAGUAGUUUUGUAAACUGUAUACCAUCUUUUUCUUAUGCAAUGUAAACAUGUUAUAUCUACUACGGUAUCUAGGCGAUGAACAUGUAUUUGUUGUUGCCAAUAAUAUAUUUGACUUGAUUUGUUAUAAAGUAUGAUGUCUCUUUUGAGAUUUUAAUUGCAUUACACGUGUUUAUCAUUUCAAUAUUUACAAAUUCAGCAUAAAACGCCACAAAUAUCAAACAAAUAUACAAUUUUAAUAUGAUUUGCAUAAGGAUUGAUUGUCAUCACACACAAAUAGAAAACAUAUACAAGUAUACAUGUAUAAUAGCCUUAUUUCUAUUAUUUCUUCACUAUUAAAUAUGAACACCAUUAUUGUGCAUA